GUCCACGCCGUAAACUAUGAGAACUAGCCGUUGGAGCCCUUGAGGCUUUGGUGGCGAAGCUAACGCGAUAAGUUCUCCGCCUGGGGAGUACGGCCGCAAGGUUAAAACUCAAAUGAAUUGACGGGGGCCCGCACAAGCGGUGGAGCAUGUUGUUUAAUUCGAUGCAACGCGAAGAACCUUACCACCCCUUGACAUCCUCAGAACUUUCCAGAGAUGGAUUGGUGCCUUCGGGAACUGAGAGACAGGUGCUGCAUGGCUGUCGU
This 263-nucleotide ribosomal RNA is filed under the name uncultured bacterium. Its description in RNAcentral is "partial 16S ribosomal RNA". It matches the Rfam family "Bacterial small subunit ribosomal RNA", at positions 793 to 1055 of the family's 1533-position model. The record is from RNAcentral.